RNAcentral lists this unclassified non-coding RNA (339 nucleotides) under soil metagenome. RNAcentral's name for it is "partial contains 5.8S ribosomal RNA, internal transcribed spacer 2, and large subunit ribosomal RNA". The stretch from base 1 to 120 matches the Rfam family "5.8S ribosomal RNA", at positions 35 to 154 of the family's 154-position model. The record is from RNAcentral.
GAUGAAGAACGUAGCGAAAUGCGAUAAGUAAUGUGAAUUGCAGAAUUCAGUGAAUCAUCGAAUCUUUGAACGCACAUUGCGCCCGCCAGUAUUCUGGCGGGCAUGCCUGUCCGAGCGUCAUUUCAACCAUCAAGCCCCCGGGCUUGUGUUGGGGACCUGCGGCUGCCCGCAGGCCCUGAAAACCAGUGGCGGGCUCGCUGUCACACCGAGCGUAGUAGCAAUCACCUCGCUCAGGGCGUGCUGCGGGUUCCGGCCGUUAAACAGCCUUACAAAACCCAAGGUUGACCUCGGAUCAGGUAGGGAUACCCGCUGAACUUAAGCAUAUCAAUAAGCGGAGGA